UGCAAGUCGAGCGGUAACAGGUGUAGCAAUACAUGCUGACGAGCGGCGGACGGGUGAGUAACGCUUGGGAAUCUGCCUGAUAGUGGGGGACAACCCGGGGAAACUCGGGCUAAUACCGCAUACGCACUACGGUGGAAAGCCGGGGACCGCAAGGCCUGGCGCUAACAGAUGAGCCCAAGUCGGAUUAGCUAGUUGGUAGGGUAACGGCCUACCAAGGCGACGAUCCGUAACUGGUCUGAGAGGACGACCAGUCACACCGGAACUGAGACACGGUCCGGACUCCUACGGGAGGCAGCAGUGGGGAAUAUUGGACAAUGGGCGAAAGCCUGAUCCAGCGACGCCGCGUGGGUGAAGAAGGCCUGCGGGUUGUAAAGCCCUUUCGGUGGGGAAGAAAAGCCUCGGGCUAAUACCUCGGGGUCUUGACGUAACCCAUAGAAAAAGCACCGGCUAACUCUGUGCCAGCAGCCGCGGUAAUACAGAGGGUGCGGGCGUUAAUCGGAAUUACUGGGCGUAAAGCGCGCGUAGGCGGCUUUGCAAGUCGGGUGUGAAAUCCCCAGGCUUAACCUGGGAACUGCAUUCGAGACUGCAUUGCUAGAGUAUGGGAGAGGGAAGUGGAAUUUCCGGUGUAGCGGUGAAAUGCGUAGAUAUCGGAAGGAACAUCAGUGGCGAAAGCGACUUCCUGGACCAAUACUGACGCUCAUGUGCGAAAGCGUGGGGAGCAAACAGGAUUAGAUACCCUGGUAGUCCACGCCAUAAACGAUGAGAACUGGAUGUCGGGAGGGUCUGCCUCUCGGUGUCGUAGCUAACGCGUUAAGUUCUCCGCCUGGGGGAGUACGGCCGCAAGGUUGAAACUCAAAUGAAUUGACGGGG
Molecule: ribosomal RNA, 870 nt
Filed under: uncultured Gammaproteobacteria bacterium
Lineage: Bacteria; Pseudomonadati; Pseudomonadota; Gammaproteobacteria
Description: bacterial SSU rRNA
Rfam family: Bacterial small subunit ribosomal RNA
Source: RNAcentral